UACGGAGGGUGCGAGCGUUUGUCCGGAAUCAUUGGGCGUAAAGGGCGCGUAGGUGGCGGGACAAGCGUGCGGUGAAAGCUCGGGGCUCAACCCCGAGUCGGCCGUGCGAACUGUCUUGCUUGAGCACUGUAGAGGCAGGCGGAAUUCCGGGUGUAGCGGUGGAAUGCGUAGAGAUCCGGAAGAACACCGGUGGCGAAGGCGGCCUUCUGGACAGUGACGUGACGCUGAGACGGCGAAAGCGUGGGGAGCAAACAGGG
This 257-nucleotide ribosomal RNA is filed under the name uncultured bacterium. RNAcentral's name for it is "partial 16S ribosomal RNA". It matches the Rfam family "Bacterial small subunit ribosomal RNA", at positions 524 to 777 of the family's 1533-position model. The record is from RNAcentral.